Molecule: long non-coding RNA, 305 nt
Organism: Juglans regia (Persian walnut)
Lineage: Eukaryota; Viridiplantae; Streptophyta; Magnoliopsida; Fagales; Juglandaceae
Exons: 3
Source: RefSeq, a predicted model, not a curated record
GGCAUGAUCUAGAUUGUUAAAUGGGUUCUGCCCCCUGAAGAUCUGUCAGGCAACUUCAAGAAAUUCUAGAGCUUCCACCCAAUAUAGAAGAGGUGUAUGCUAAUGGAUGCAUCUCAUUGGAAAGGUUUCCCGAAGUAUAGAGAAAGUUUCAAUUCAAUACUUGCAACUUAAGGGCAUUUCGAUGGAUUGAAUUGUUCAGAUGCUAUAAAAUGUUUGUGAAUAUACGGAUUCAUGUGGCAAAUCCUUUAUUCGAUGAGGGACAUCUUAAUGACUAUUUUGGUAGCAUUAUAUUUCCAGGAAGUAUG